Molecule: ribosomal RNA, 207 nt
Filed under: uncultured bacterium
Lineage: Bacteria
Description: partial 16S ribosomal RNA
Rfam family: Bacterial small subunit ribosomal RNA
Source: RNAcentral
CGUGUAGGCGGAUAGGUAAGUCAGAAGUGAAAUCCAAUAGCUCAACUAUUGAACUGCUUUUGAAACUGCUUAUCUAGAAUAUGGGAGAGGUAGAUGGAAUUUCUGGUGUAGGGGUAAAAUCCGUAGAGAUCAGAAGGAAUACCGAUUGCGAAGGCGGUCUACUGGAACAUUAUUGACGCUGAGACGCGAAAGCGUGGGGAGCAAACA